GAUGAACGCUGGCGGCGUGCCUAAUACAUGCAAGUCGAGCGAACGGACGAGAAGCUUGCUUCUCUGAUGUUAGCGGCGGACGGGUGAGUAACACGUGUAUAACCUACCUAUAAGACUGGGAUAACUUCGGGAAACCGGCGCUAAUACCGGAUAAUAUUUUGAACCGCAUGGUUCAAAAGUGAAAGACGGUCUUGCUGUCACUUAUAGAUGGAUCCGCGCUGCAUUAGCUAGUUGGUAAGGUAACGGCUUACCAAGGCAACGAUGCAUAGCCGACCUGAGAGGGUGAUCGGCCACACUGGAACUGAGACACGGUCAAGACUCCUACGGGAGGCAGCAGUAGGGAAUCGUCCGCAAUGGGCGAAAGCCUGACGGAGCAACGCCGCGUGAGAGAUGAAGGUCUUCGGAUCGUAAAACUCGGUUAUUAGGGAAGAACAUAUGUGUAAGGAACUGUGCACAUCUUGACGGUACCUGAUCAGAAAGCCACGGCUAACUACGUG
RNAcentral lists this ribosomal RNA (497 nucleotides) under uncultured bacterium. RNAcentral describes it as "partial 16S ribosomal RNA". It matches the Rfam family "Bacterial small subunit ribosomal RNA", at positions 28 to 507 of the family's 1533-position model. The record is from RNAcentral.